Molecule: non-coding RNA, 107 nt
Organism: Beta vulgaris subsp. vulgaris (sugar beet)
Lineage: Eukaryota; Viridiplantae; Streptophyta; Magnoliopsida; Caryophyllales; Amaranthaceae
Source: Rfam
AGGUUGAGGUGUGGGCACUGUCUCAUUAGGUCUUUGAACCUAUUUCAUGCUUCCUUCAGUGUCCCAUCAGGCUCUUGUAGGAAGGUUGGAAGUUUAUGUCUGAUUUU